RNAcentral lists this ribosomal RNA (409 nucleotides) under uncultured microorganism. Its description in RNAcentral is "bacterial SSU rRNA". It matches the Rfam family "Bacterial small subunit ribosomal RNA", at positions 9 to 421 of the family's 1533-position model. The record is from RNAcentral.
GAGUUUGAUCGUGGCUCAGAUUGAACGCUGGCGGCAUGCCUUACACAUGCAAGUCGAACGGUAACAGGUCUUCGGAUGCUGACGAGUGGCGAACGGGUGAGUAAUACAUCGGAACGUGCCCGAUCGUGGGGGGAUAACGGAGCGAAAGCUUUGCUAAUACCGCAUACGAUCUACGGAUGAAAGCAGGGGACCGCAAGGCCUUGCGCGGACGGAGCGGCCGAUGGCAGAUUAGGUAGUUGGUGGGAUAAAAGCUUACCAAGCCGACGAUCUGUAGCUGGUCUGAGAGGACGACCAGCCACACUGGGACUGAGACACGGCCCAGACUCCUACGGGAGGCAGCAGUGGGGAAUUUUGGACAAUGGGCGAAAGCCUGAUCCAGCCAUGCCGCGUGCAGGAUGAAGGCCUUCGG